UUCGUGGUGGUCCAGUGGCUAAGACACUGUGCUCCCAGUGCAGGGGGCCUGGGUUCGAAUCCUGGUCAGGGAA
RNAcentral lists this transfer RNA (73 nucleotides) under Ovis aries (sheep). It matches the Rfam family "tRNA". From Rfam's summary of the family: Transfer RNA (tRNA) molecules are approximately 80 nucleotides in length. Their secondary structure includes four short double-helical elements and three loops (D, anti-codon, and T loops). The record is from Rfam by way of RNAcentral. Lineage: Eukaryota; Metazoa; Chordata; Mammalia; Artiodactyla; Bovidae.